GGCGAGGGGAGUGAAAAAGAACCUGAAACCGUGUACGUACAAGCAGUGGGAGCACAGGUUUACCUGUGUGACUGCGUACCUUUUGUAUAAUGGGUCAGCGACUUAUAUUCUGUAGCAAGGUUAACCGAAUAGGGGAGCCGGAGGGAAACCGAGUCUUAAUUUGGCGUUAAGUUGCAGGGUAUAGACCCGAAACCCGGUGAUCUAGCCAUGGGCAGGUUGAAGGUUGGGUAACACUAACUGGAGGACCGAACCGACUAAUGUUGAAAAA
Molecule: ribosomal RNA, 268 nt
Filed under: Salmonella enterica subsp. enterica serovar Apeyeme
Lineage: Bacteria; Pseudomonadati; Pseudomonadota; Gammaproteobacteria; Enterobacterales; Enterobacteriaceae
Description: partial 23S ribosomal RNA
Rfam family: Bacterial large subunit ribosomal RNA
Source: RNAcentral